GACAGAGGUGCCGAGCGUUAGGCGGAAUCACUGGGCUUAAAGCGUGUGUAGGCGGGUCGUUAAGUGCCUUGUGAAAUCCCACAGCUCAACUGUGGAACUGCUGGGCAUACUGGCGAUCUUGAGCCAACUAGGGGCGACCGGAACAAACGGUGGAGCGGUGAAAUGCGUAGAUAUCGUUUGGAACGCCAAUGGUGAAAACAGGUCGCUGGGGUUGUGCUGACGCUGAGACACGAAAGCCAGGGGAGCGAACGGG
This 253-nucleotide ribosomal RNA is filed under the name uncultured bacterium. Its description in RNAcentral is "partial 16S ribosomal RNA". It matches the Rfam family "Bacterial small subunit ribosomal RNA", at positions 524 to 776 of the family's 1533-position model. The record is from RNAcentral.